GACGAACGCUGGCGGCGUGCUUAACACAUGCAAGUCGAACGAAGAGCGAUGGAAGCUUGCUUCUAUCAAUCUUAGUGGCGAACGGGUGAGUAACGCGUAAUCAACCUGCCCUUCAGAGGGGGACAAACAGUUGGAAACGACUGCUAAUACCGCAUACGAUUUAAUCUCGGCAUCGAGACUGGAUGAAAGGUGGCCUCUAUUUAUAAGCUAUCACUGAAGGAGGGGAUUGCGUCUGAUUAGCUAGUUGGAGGGGUAACGGCCCAGCCAAGGCGAUGAUCAGUAGCCGGUCUGAGAGGAUGAACGGCCACAUUGGGACUGAGACACGGCCCAGACUCCUACGGGAGGCAGCAGUGGGGAAUCUUCCGCAAUGGACGAAAGUCUGACGGAGCAACGCCGCGUGAGUGAUGACGGCCUUCGGGUUGUAAAGCUCUGUUAACUGGGAGG
RNAcentral lists this ribosomal RNA (444 nucleotides) under Veillonella atypica. Its description in RNAcentral is "bacterial SSU rRNA". It matches the Rfam family "Bacterial small subunit ribosomal RNA", at positions 28 to 447 of the family's 1533-position model. The record is from RNAcentral. Lineage: Bacteria; Bacillati; Bacillota; Negativicutes; Veillonellales; Veillonellaceae.